Marasmius oreades (fairy-ring Marasmius) is the source of this 98-nucleotide non-coding RNA. The record is from the annotation of a RefSeq genome assembly. Lineage: Eukaryota; Fungi; Basidiomycota; Agaricomycetes; Agaricales; Marasmiaceae.
GGGCACAUGGUGUAGUUGGUUAUCACAUCCGCUUAGCAUGUACUUGUAUGUGUAGCAUCUUCUGCGGGGGGUGCUGGGUUCAAUUCCCAGUGUGUCCA